GAUGAACGCUGACCGAAUGCUUAACACAUGCAAGUCUACUUGAACUUCGGUUUGGGUGGCGGACGGGUGAGUAACGCGUAAAGAACUUGCCUCACAGUUAGGGACAACAUUUGGAAACGAAUGCUAAUACCUGAUAUUAUGAUUUUAGGGCAUCCUAAAAUUAUGAAAGCUAUAUGCGCUGUGAGAGAGCUUUGCGUCCCAUUAGCUAGUUGGAGAGGUAACGGCUCACCAAGGCGAUGAUGGGUAGCCGGCCUGAGAGGGUGAACGGCCACAAGGGGACUGAGACACGGCCCUUACUCCUACGGGAGGCAGCAGUGGGGAAUAUUGGACAAUGGACCAAAAGUCUGAUCCAGCAAUUCUGUGUGCACGAUGACGUUUUUCGGAAUGUAAAGUGCUUUCAGUUGGGAAGAAAAAAAUGACGGUACCAACAGAAGAAGAGACGGCUAAAUACGUG
Molecule: ribosomal RNA, 454 nt
Filed under: uncultured bacterium
Lineage: Bacteria
Description: partial 16S ribosomal RNA
Rfam family: Bacterial small subunit ribosomal RNA
Source: RNAcentral